This 1602-nucleotide long non-coding RNA is filed under the name Mytilus galloprovincialis (Mediterranean mussel). Lineage: Eukaryota; Metazoa; Mollusca; Bivalvia; Mytilida; Mytilidae. The record is from RNAcentral.
CAAAAUUGUCUUUGUAUAUAUAUAGUUACUGGAUUUAAAAAAUCUUUAAAAAUAGUGGGUUUCUCGUUAUGCUUUCCACCAAUGCUUACAAGUAUGUUGAGAACACUAUAAUAAACAAUUUAUGUUAUAUUCCCAGUUAUUCGUAAUACACGAUUUUGAUUUCUAAAGUUAAAACAAAUCGUUCAAGAAGUCAUUUUAUACGGUAACACGAGCUACUCCCCUUCAAAUUAAUUUCAAUAGUUCCCUGUCAUGUAGUCCGAGAUUACUCCGAUGUCCAACGGUUGUUUUGCCAGACAAGCUGUGACCGUGGGACGUCAGAGCUCGUCCCAUGUCCCACGGCCCCAGCUUAUCUGACAAAACAGCCGUUGGACGUCAGAGUAAUCUCGUACUACCUGCCAUGCAGAGCUUCCUUGAAAAGUUUUAAGAUAAAUUGUUCAUCUGAUUUACUUCAAACAUAUAAUAGUAAUUCCAGCUUUAAAAUCGAGUAAGACCCCAAAUUGUCAAAGGUAAUAAGACCCUAUUCGAACAAGUAUCAGUGGUUAUAUGUCAUAUUUGAUGUCUUGGGCUUGAUAUCCUGGACUGUUGGGUUUUUUUUCUAUCAGAAUAUUGCGUCAAUGUGUGUGGCUAUAUGUUCCUAUUACCCAUGUGGUUCUCUUCUAUAAUGUAGGGUAUAUCUAAAUCUUUAUUUAGCUGUGAGUAACUUAACGUGCAUUCAAUAUUUACCGCUGCGUGUGUAGCAUCUACCAAUCUAAUCAUUUAAACCACGAAAUUCAAAAGGGAAAAUAAGCUUUGUUAAUAAAACUAACAUCAUGAUUUGUUAUUGCUACAAGCAAGUUCUUCUCCCAAUGUUUUUCAGGAUACAAUAAAGUAAUUAUCAGUAUGGACUAUUGUUUCAUUGUUGUUGGUUUUUUGUUGUUGUUUUUUUUUUGACGUCUUGAAUAUAAAUAUAUUUCUAUUUAUAUUUGAUUUAAGUGACUGUAUUUUUGUACAUAUUUUAUAUCUUCAUGCAUCAAUACACAUUUGUUUUUUAACAUAUUGAAUAUAAAUGUAUGUGUAUUUAUAUCUGAUAUAAGUGACUGUAUUUUUGUAAAUAAUUGUAUAUCUUCAUGCAUCAAUACAAUAUAAAAUUGAAAAUGAAAAUGGGGAAUGUGUCAAAAAAAAAAUUAAAAAAAAAAAAUUGAAUAUAUCAAACUAAUGAAAGAAUAUCGAAAUCAAAACCAAGUGUUUAUAGUUUUGUCAAAUUUAUCCUAAGAGAAGAGCUAAUCAUUGUUGUUCAAUAUUAACAUUAUAUUAGAAAAAUAUUUGUUUGAGAAUUGAAAAAAAACUCUCAGAUUUUUUGAAAGUAAAUAGAUAUUAAAAAAAUGUGGUAUGUUUAGUUUUUUUUCUGUAAAACCGUUAGAUAUUUGAAAUGUAAGUCAUUAACGGUGAAUGUGAUUUGUGGUAAAAACAAUUUUGAUAUGUGUGUUUAUUUUGCAUAUUUUUAAGCCUGUUUAAGCCUGUUUAAGACAAAAAUACAUAUAUACAAUGAAAUAUACAAUAGUUAAACUUGAAAGAAUGUAAUUUUAUGAAUUAUACAAGAUACUAUUUUACACGAAUUAGAAC